Molecule: small nuclear RNA, 297 nt
Filed under: Jaculus jaculus (lesser Egyptian jerboa)
Lineage: Eukaryota; Metazoa; Chordata; Mammalia; Rodentia; Dipodidae
Description: 7SK RNA (ENSJJAG00000000808.1)
Rfam family: 7SK RNA
About the family: 7SK was discovered as an abundant small nuclear RNA in the mid-70s but a possible function has only recently been suggested.
Source: Rfam by way of RNAcentral
GGAUGUGAGGGUGAUCUGGCUGCAACAUCUGUCAUCCCAUUGAUUACCAUGGUUGAUUCAGCUGAUAUGGCUGGCUAGGCAGGUGUCCCCUUCCUCCCUCACCACUCCAUGCGCAUUCCCUCCCAAAGCUGCAUGCUUGGUCAAAGAGGAAGACCUUCCCCAAAAAGGGGAGGACUGAUCUUUGGUCAAGGGUAUACAAGUAGCUGCACUCCCCUGCUAGAACCUCCAAACAAACUCACAAGAGAUGUUUCAGUGUGCUGGAGAGAUGUCUUAGUGGUUAAGUGCUUGCCUGUAAAG